Molecule: long non-coding RNA, 2143 nt
Filed under: Homo sapiens (human)
Lineage: Eukaryota; Metazoa; Chordata; Mammalia; Primates; Hominidae
Description: EPHA2 antisense RNA 1, transcript variant 1 (EPHA2-AS1)
Source: RNAcentral
GCACUCGCGGCCCCUAACCUGCCCCGGGAGCCCGGGAGUGCGGCUUGGGAAGGAGGGAAAGGAGUGUGUGAGCAGGGAUUGGCCCGAACCUAUCUCCACGCUCUCCCCCGGGACUGGAGGUGAAGGGGGGCGUGGAGAAAAUCUCAGGGAACAGGGGCUUCGACAGGGGGCUCCCGCCCGCCCGAGCCCCCUCCCCAAAAUGCGAGGCCUGCACAGUAUGCCUUCUCCGCAAAACCUCGGCAAGCGGGUUAGUGAAUUCAGGUCACUAAGAAGCUGAGCCCGCGGAAAGCUGCCCAAACACCCCCUUCUCUAGGGGACUCCCCACGCCCCCCGCCGGGACGCGUUCCCGAAGUCGCCGCCUGGACUGCAACCGCGUGGCCUGCGCCGCGUCCUCUUCUCCGCAGCCUCCGAGGCCCGUGCGACCAAGCUGAAACCGCUUAUUCUCCGGAGCCCCUAUGACCCCGGGUGGGGGCCAGGGCUCGCCUCGAUCGCAGCCCGUGCGCCCUCCGGACUCCAGUUCGCCGGGACUGGGCGACACCAGAAGCGGCUAGUGUGAGUGAAACAAACGGGAAAUUUGCUCUGGCCCGCCUGCCCAGCCACCCACGGCUGCCUGUUGGCCAAUCACCAUUUGACCAGUCCAGGAAGAGCAACUGUGGCAGGCCUGAUUUCCUGGGAGGCCCCAGACUCCCUUUGCCUACCUCUUCCUCUCUGACCCCAUCCUCGCUUUGAUGCCCGGGACCUGCUACCCAGAAACAACGUGAGGCUCAGAGAGAAGAAAUGACUAAAAUUACACAGCUGGUACAUGGCAGAGGUGGAACUAAAAAGUUAAGUGUGUCUACCCCAGAGCCGAGUAGACCUGCUCUUUUUUGAACACUUCCUGGACUUUCAUGCCUUUGUCCCAGCUGUGCCCUCUCCCUGGAUGCCCCUUCCAUCUGGGCAGCUCCUACUAGACCUGCCUUGGCAUACAUAACACAGGAGAACGGAUUGCCAAAGGGUAGGAGAGUGCCUGGUCUAUAGUGUGCGCCCAACACAGAUUUGGUGAAUGAAUGAACACUGGGUCCAGCAGACCUGGAUUCUUCCAUGUAACCCACUGUGUGGCCUUGGUGGAGCCAUGCGGGUGCAAUAAUCCUGGUUUCCACCCUUCAGGGCUGCUGCUGGGACUCAGUGAGAUCAUCAUGUAUCUAAUGCCCUUUGCUCAGUGCUGGGCACACAGUCAAUGCGCAUUGAAUCUUAGCUAUUGCUACCUUUACAAUCAAUCAAAAGUCACUUCUGAAGAAUAGACAGGGCUCCCCCAGGCCAAAUAAAUAAUUCCUCCCGGGACAAACCCCAGCUCUCACUCCCUCCUCUUUAGGCAGGGGGCUCCCUGAAGGACAGAGACCCGGUUUUAUUCCAUCUUGCCGUCCCCCAUGGUGCCGGGCAUACAGUGGUGCCCAGUAAACGUGUGUGUUGCACAAACAUGCGGUAACUAGGGCCCCAUCUUUUUCAAAAGAACACACUCCCCAGGUGCAGCCGCAAAGAGAGACUGUUCAGCUGUUCAGGUGAGGUUUUGGGGUGAAACUCGUCUGAAUAAUAGUUUUACUGAACACAGCCUCACCCCCAACAAGGAGGCAAUUUGAGGUGGGGGUGGGGAGACUUAAAUGUGGGCUCCCGGGUUUUAAAGGGGGUAGCGCGGGAGGAAGCCCCCCAAUAAUUGCGGGGCUUCCCCCACCCCCAGAGCUGGAUUAGAGGCUGCGCCACUUCCUUUGGGGCUCGCUCGCGCUUCCUGGGAGCCUUUGAUGUGGGUUCUUGGUAGAUCCUGCCCGCGGGGCCUGGAUGCGGGCGGAGCCUCCGGGCAGGGCGGGGCCUCAGCCUGGGUCCGCACUGGGGAGGCGGCCACCCGGUAGCUUGGGCGGGUUCCGCCCACCUCCCGCCUGUAUUUACAGCCCCCUUCCAACAUCCCCGACUCCCUGAGGGCGCCCCUCAUUCUGCUCGGCCUUGCCUUCCCCAUUCGGCCACAUCCUCCUCUCUCCCAACUCAGCUUCGACCCCCAAAGCCUUUCCCUAACCAUCGGAACCACAGGCUUUUCUCCGGCCUCUGAGUGCCAGUCUUCAACUAGGUGUCUUUUAAAAAAUCAAAAAGCAUCUCAUCCUACGGGAUGUGUGUG